This 224-nucleotide long non-coding RNA is filed under the name Elaeis guineensis (African oil palm). Its description in RNAcentral is "long non-coding RNA (EGUI_LNC041322)". Lineage: Eukaryota; Viridiplantae; Streptophyta; Magnoliopsida; Arecales; Arecaceae. The record is from RNAcentral.
GGUGGGGUGGAGUCGGUCGGUUGGUUGGGGUGUUCCUCAAGAUUGGUUUUAUUAAUUUGCCACGUAUUGGAUGAUGAUUUUGAAUCUGUUGGAUGUUUUCUGUUGGUGAAGUGAUCAAGCGAGUCGAAUGAUAGAAGUUAUUAAAAGAAAUUAUAAGUUUCGUACACGUUUCCGCAACAGAUGUUGGGGAUAAGGAAACUUAAUUAACAUGUAUAAGCCAGUUA